This is a long non-coding RNA of Fundulus heteroclitus (mummichog), 627 nucleotides long. RefSeq lists it as uncharacterized. Lineage: Eukaryota; Metazoa; Chordata; Actinopteri; Cyprinodontiformes; Fundulidae. The record is from RefSeq and is a predicted model, not a curated record. The transcript has 3 exons.
GUCGUCAUUUGUCGGAGGAAUGUAUUUCUGCACCGAGGAGUGACAAGGUUGGCAUCUCUAAAGCUGAAUACAUGGAUGGUGCUGUCCAAAAAUUACUGCUGGAUAUUUUGUUCCAGCAGUAACAGAGGGGGUACCACAGCCAGAAUUCAUAUAGACAUGGAGACAGAGAAUGGUACAAUGAAAGACAUUCAAAGAUUUUUGCGUCUUCAUGACAGCUAUCCUGAAAACUACUUCAUUGUGGGAUCCAGCACCCACAGCCAGCACAUCGACAGCUGGUGGGCUUUCUUAAGGAAACGUCGUGCACAGUACUGGAUGAACCUUUUUCAAAAACUGAAGAAUACAUAUUACUUUACUGGUGACUUCUUGGAUAAGCAGCCAAUUCUGCUCACCUGUUUAAAUAUCACUGAAGAACAACUCUAAAAAGUGGUUCACUUAUGGAACAUCAUUUGUAAGAUUAGAGAUGCAAUUGCUCCAAGUGACCGGCCCUACAUUAUGUAUACCUGGGGUGUCAAGCUCCAAUCCUCAAGGGCGUGUCCUGAAACUUUUAGAGGUUUCCUUGGUCCCACACACCUGAAUCAAAUGACACAAUUAGCUCCUCAGUAUGCAGUCAGGUUCUUCAGAGUCCUG